AUUGAACGCUGGCGGCAUGCCUAACACAUGCAAGUCGAACGGUAACACGCCGAGAGUUUCCGACUAGUGGUGGAGGGGGGCGGAAGGGUUCGGAAUGCAUCCAGUCCUGGUGUUUCACGGCUCGUAACGGUAGCUAAUACCGCCUACGACCUAAUACUGCAAACGGGAGACCGCAAGGGAUCUCGCGAUUUUAGCCGCCGAUGUCAGAUUAGGUAGUUGGUGGGGUAAAGGCUGACCAAGGCAACGAUCCGUAGCUGGUCUGAGAGGACGACCAGCCACACUGGAACUGAGACACGGUCCAGACUCCUACGGGAGGCAGCAGUGGGGAAUUUUGGACAAUGGGCGCAAGCCUGAUCCAGCAAUGCCGCGUGCGGGAAGAAGGCCUUCGGGUUGUAAACUGCUUUUGUUCGGAAAGAAACGGCGCUGGUUAAUACCCGGGGGUAAUGACGGUACCGAAAGAAUAAGCACCGGCUAACUACGUG
This 482-nucleotide ribosomal RNA is filed under the name uncultured bacterium. Its description in RNAcentral is "partial 16S ribosomal RNA". It matches the Rfam family "Bacterial small subunit ribosomal RNA", at positions 30 to 507 of the family's 1533-position model. The record is from RNAcentral.